This 460-nucleotide ribosomal RNA is filed under the name uncultured bacterium. Its description in RNAcentral is "partial 16S ribosomal RNA". It matches the Rfam family "Bacterial small subunit ribosomal RNA", at positions 338 to 795 of the family's 1533-position model. The record is from RNAcentral.
CCUACGGGAGGCAGCAGUGAGGAAUAUUGGUCAAUGGACGAGAGUCUGAACCAGCCAAGUAGCGUGAAGGAUGACUGCCCUAUGGGUUGUAAACUUCUUUUAUAAGGGAAUAAAACGAGGCACGCGUGCCUUCUUGUAUGUACCUUAUGAAUAAGGAUCGGCUAACUCCGUGCCAGCAGCCGCGGUAAUACGGAGGAUCCGAGCGUUAUCCGGAUUUAUUGGGUUUAAAGGGAGCGUAGAUGGGUUGUUAAGUCAGUUGUGAAAGUUUGCGGCUCAACCGUAAAAUUGCAAUUGAUACUGGCAGUCUUGAGUACAGUUGAGGUAGGCGGAAUUCGUGGUGUAGCGGUGAAAUGCUUAGAUAUCACGAAGAACCCCGAUUGCGAAGGCAGCUUACUAAACUGUGACUGACAUUGAUGCUCGAAAGUGUGGGUAUCAAACAGGAUUAGAUACCCUAGUAGUC